CAGAGUUCAUGCCCGAAAGGGUAGACCUCCCACCCUUGUGUAUUAUUACUUUGUUGCUUUGGCGAGCUGCUCUUCGGGGCCUUGCUAUGCUCGCCAGAGAAUAUCAAAACUCUUUUUAUUAAUGUCGUCUGAGUACUAUAUAAUAGUUG
Molecule: unclassified non-coding RNA, 149 nt
Filed under: soil metagenome
Description: partial internal transcribed spacer 1
Source: RNAcentral